Myotis lucifugus (little brown bat) is the source of this 239-nucleotide long non-coding RNA. RefSeq lists it as uncharacterized. The transcript is spliced from 3 exons. Lineage: Eukaryota; Metazoa; Chordata; Mammalia; Chiroptera; Vespertilionidae. The record is from RefSeq and is a predicted model, not a curated record.
CAGAACCUUUUUGGGCCUGAGCAUAUCGCUUAAUAACAAGAGUAACUCUACCUGCCCAGGGGUUAUUGAUGAAAGGACAGAGCAAUCAUUGUAAGGUAUUUCCCCUCCCUGGUUUCUUCCAGCCCUGAACAGAGCACUGGGGGCAGACCCAACGGGAUGGCUGGUGUGACUCCUCAGUGGACUCUGCCCUGAAGAGGUGAUGUGUUCUCCAAAGGGCCCAAGUUGGUAUCCCAAGAGCC